This 546-nucleotide long non-coding RNA is filed under the name Rattus norvegicus (Norway rat). RNAcentral's name for it is "long non-coding RNA NONRATT016466". The record is from RNAcentral. Lineage: Eukaryota; Metazoa; Chordata; Mammalia; Rodentia; Muridae.
AAGAUUUCAAAACCUGUCUGCCUACACCUACCAGCAACCUAGGCUUGUGAUCAGAAUGAAUGAUCCCAAGAAACUACUUGACCAAGUGUGUUUUGUUGUCCUGGAUUUGAGAUGUGCGUUCUUCCUCCCUCUGAGACUGUUGAUGUAUGAGUGUGAAGAAGUUACAGAAACAAUGCUCAGAUUUUCACGGUAACUUUCCCUCUGCCCACACUGUAGAGUUUCAGAUUGUUCACUGAUAGUGCUUCUUUCGUAAGGAUGUGUUAAAAUUGGCAGUCUUUUUAAAAGAUUAUGCAGUUCUCUAUUUAUUGUGCUGUGCCUGGUCCUAAGUGCAGCCGGUUAAACAAGUUUCAUAUGUAUUUUUCCAGUGUUAAAUCUCAUACCUAUGCCCUUUGGAAAGUUCCAUCCUGAACAAUGAAUAGAAGAGGCUAUAUAAAUUGUCUCCUUAUCCUUAAGAUUUCACUAUCUUUAUGUUAAGAGUAAUGUAUAAUUAUUAAAAUCUAUGAAAAAUAAAAAGUGGAUUUAAAUUAAAAAAAAGAAAGAAAGAAA